GGAGAUAUGGCAGAGCUGGUUGAAUGCGCACGACUCGAAAUCGUGUAUACGGGCGACCGUAUCGAGGGUUCGAAUCCCCCUAUCUCCGCCA
RNAcentral lists this transfer RNA (91 nucleotides) under Alphaproteobacteria bacterium. RNAcentral describes it as "tRNA-Ser". It matches the Rfam family "tRNA". Rfam says of the family: Transfer RNA (tRNA) molecules are approximately 80 nucleotides in length. Their secondary structure includes four short double-helical elements and three loops (D, anti-codon, and T loops). Further hydrogen bonds mediate the characteristic L-shaped molecular structure. tRNAs have two regions of fundamental functional importance: the anti-codon, which is responsible for specific mRNA codon recognition, and the 3' end, to which the tRNAs corresponding amino acid is attached (by aminoacyl-tRNA synthetases). tRNAs cope with the degeneracy of the genetic code in two manners: having more than one tRNA (with a specific anti-codon) for a particular amino acid; and 'wobble' base-pairing, i.e. permitting non-standard base-pairing at the 3rd anti-codon position. Lineage: Bacteria; Pseudomonadati; Pseudomonadota; Alphaproteobacteria. The record is from RNAcentral. RNAcentral also lists the same sequence under 1 other name.